UACGAAGGGGGCGAGCGUUGUUCGGAUUUACUGGGCGUAAAGGGCGCGCAGGCGGCUCAUUUUGUCAGGCGUGAAAGCCCCGGGCUUAACCUGGGAACUGCGUUUGAUACGGAUGGGCUAGAGUUCGGGAGAGGAGAGUGGAAUUCCCAGUGUAGAGGUGAAAUUCGUAGAUAUUGGGAAGAACACCGGUGGCGAAGGCGGCUCUCUGGACCGAUACUGACGCUGAGGCGCGAAAGCGUGAGGAGCAAACAGG
RNAcentral lists this ribosomal RNA (253 nucleotides) under uncultured bacterium. RNAcentral describes it as "partial 16S ribosomal RNA". It matches the Rfam family "Bacterial small subunit ribosomal RNA", at positions 524 to 776 of the family's 1533-position model. The record is from RNAcentral.